AGAGAAAUCAGGAGGUACCUGAGAAAGUAGAAUGUACCUGAAAAAUAAGAAUGGACCAUCGUGAUACGUCGGGGGGGUGGGGGUGGGCUAUGAUUGUAGAGGAAGAGAGUCUGCCAGGAGACAGGAGGCUAUUGCCAUUGCAGGUGUUGCUGUCCUCUGGGCGGGUGGCACCGGAUACUAUAAGAAAGAAGGUUGAGAAGACAGGAAGGAGCAAGCCAGCAAGCAGCACACCUCUAUGGACACUGCAUCAGCUCCCGGCUCCAGGUUCCCCUGCUGUUUUGUGUUCCUGUCCUUAAUUCCCCGAGCAAUGUACUAAGCCAUGGAACAGUAAGCUAAAAUGAA
Long non-coding RNA from Mesocricetus auratus (golden hamster), 342 nucleotides. RefSeq lists it as uncharacterized. The transcript is spliced from 2 exons. NCBI's taxonomy places the organism in Eukaryota, Metazoa, Chordata, Mammalia, Rodentia, Cricetidae. The record is from RefSeq and is a predicted model, not a curated record.